This 465-nucleotide ribosomal RNA is filed under the name uncultured bacterium. Its description in RNAcentral is "partial 16S ribosomal RNA". It matches the Rfam family "Bacterial small subunit ribosomal RNA", at positions 338 to 795 of the family's 1533-position model. The record is from RNAcentral.
CCUACGGGAGGCAGCAGUGGGGAAUAUUGCGCAAUGGGCGAAAGCCUGACGCAGCGACGCCGCGUGAGGGAUGAAGGUCUUCGGAUCGUAAACCUCUGUCAGCAGGGAAGAACGGUCACUGUGCUAAUCAGCAGUGAAUUGACGGUACCUGCAAAGGAAGCACCGGCUAACUCCGUGUCAGCAGCCGCGGUAAUACGGAGGGUGCAAGCGUUAAUCGGAAUUACUGGGCGUAAAGCGCUCGUAGGCGGUAUGUUAAGUCAAGGGUGAAAUCCCCGGGCUCAACGUGGGAAGUUCCUUUGAAACUGGCAAACUUGAGUGUGUGAGAGGAGAGUGGAAUUCCAGGUGUAGGAGUGAAAUCCGUAGAUAUCUGGAGGAACAUCAGUGGCGAAGGCGACUAUCUGGCACAUAACUGACGCUGAGGAGCGAAAGCGUGGGUAGCAAACAGGAUUAGAUACUCCUGUAGUC